UGGACUCAGAACGACGCUGGCGGCAUGCCUAACACAUGCAAGUCGAACGAGACCUUCGGUCUAGUGCGCACGGGUGCGUAACGCGUGGGAACCUGCCUUUAGGUUCGGAAUAACUCAGAGAAAUUUGAGCUAAUACCGGAUAAUGUCUUCGGACCAAAGAUUUAUCGCCUUUAGAUGGGCCCGCGUUGGAUUAGCUAGUUGGUGGGGUAAAGGCCUACCAAGGCGACGAUCCAUAGCUGGUCUGAGAGGAUGAUCAGCCACACUGGGACUGAGACACGGCCCAGACUCCUACGGGAGGCAGCAGUGGGGAAUAUUGGACAAUGGGCGAAAGCCUGAUCCAGCAAUGCCGCGUGAGUGAUGAAGGCCUUAGGGUUGUAAAGCUCUUUUACCCGAGAUGAUAAUGACAGUAUCGGGAGAAUAAGCUCCGGCUAACUCCGUG
Molecule: ribosomal RNA, 439 nt
Filed under: uncultured bacterium
Lineage: Bacteria
Description: bacterial SSU rRNA
Rfam family: Bacterial small subunit ribosomal RNA
Source: RNAcentral